Long non-coding RNA from Pygocentrus nattereri (red-bellied piranha), 1437 nucleotides. RefSeq lists it as uncharacterized. NCBI's taxonomy places the organism in Eukaryota, Metazoa, Chordata, Actinopteri, Characiformes, Serrasalmidae. The record is from RefSeq and is a predicted model, not a curated record. The transcript has 3 exons.
UGUGUGCCAGAAGCGGAAGCUCUGCUGCGCGGAGAUGGCGGGUGUAGAGAAGCAGGGCGCGGUUUCUCUCCCCAAACAUUCGUACUGGUUCGACUUCUGGGUGUUUGUCUUAUUCGACAUCGCGUUUUUCCUCUUCAUGUACUUUGUCGUUCCUUAAGGGUCCACCUGUGGUGUGUGAGGACGAGGACCAUGGAGAUGGUAGCUGACCUGUGGAGUAGAUGAGACUGGUAAUGUGUGACCCCCAGAACAGCAAACCAUGGCUUUGGCUGAUCUCAUCUGUCCACAAAUCCACAAAGUACUGCAAGUGCAGUUUCUUGUUUCAGACCCCUCCCCCCCGAUUCAAAGAGCUACGCUUAUCCAAAGAACCAAAAACAUGUUACAGAUAACUAAUCAUUCCUCCACAGGCUUCACACCUCUACCUGAUUUGUAAUUAAUCUUAAACACUGUGCGCGUUUACAGGUAGACUGCACGAUGGUUAACCUAUGCUACGUUAAGAAGUGUUGAAUUAAUUAUUGUCAAUAUGAAUGAAUGAACAAUGUUUUGUUUGCUUUAAUCUCAAUCAUGUGAUUCACUAAAUACUGAAAAAUUAAAGUCUCUUAAUAUAUUUUUAAAAUUUGGUUUGGAAAGUGAAUUCAUACAUUGUUAAACUGUAUGCAGUUGACAUAUUACAUGCGUUAACUGUUUAACACUAUUAGUCAGAAGCCAGAAAAUCAGAGCAUAACAAAAAAAUUGUGACGCAUUAAAAAUAACAGCUCAACAGUCAUGAAAAUCCCGGAUAAGUUAUGGAAAAAUAAUGGGAUUUUAUGGACCCCAUGCAGUUAAUCAUACUAAAAAGUCUAGAAAGUAAAAAGCACAGAGACCUGAGAUUAAUGUAUCUGCACUUAGACUAGCUUUACCAACAUGUUAAUAUUAAUCUCGGCUGGCUAAGUUGUAACAUUCAGGACGUGCUGUGGAUGAUGUUUAGAUAUUUGAAGACUCUUGUUGGCUGUAAUGUAGCACCAUUUAGAAACAGAUCAAUAACUGACAGUGAGAGAUAGUCAAGCUAAAUACGGCCUCCACGCAGCAGGGUUAGUUUUUACCAGGAUUCAGAAAAAAGUGAUGCACUUUUAAAAUGAGAAUUCUUGGCUGAAACUGAUAUACAGGACAUGCUGGGUCAAAAGCGGACAAUAAAUAAAAAUAAUUAACAUAUGUAAACAUACUACAAUGAUUCCAGUAUGUAGGCUACAGAAUGGCCAUGAAAUCCAGUGUGUUCCACAACAGAGCAGUUGGUCAUCAAAGACAUUUAUUUCGUGUUUUAGUUUUGCUUUGCACUUUGUGUGUUGAGUGUGAAUUUUUAGGCUGAAAGAUGAGUCAUUUUUAUAUUCAAAUUGUACAUUUUUCAAAUCGCAUGAGCUGCAGUUGUUGAAAAUUAAAGUUGUUAUCACAACUUGAACAUAA